This 66-nucleotide transfer RNA is filed under the name Nodularia douglasiae. Its description in RNAcentral is "tRNA-His". The record is from RNAcentral. RNAcentral also lists the same sequence under 2 other names. Lineage: Eukaryota; Metazoa; Mollusca; Bivalvia; Unionida; Unionidae.
UAAUGAGUAGUUUAUAGUAAAACAGUAGGUUGUGGUUCUACAGAUAGAAUUGUUGACUCUCAUUAG